UCCCGUAUGUUACAUAUUUAUAUAUAACUUAAUGUAAGAAUUUUAAAUCACGUUCGUCCAUCAAGGACGUGUCCAAAUACAUCCUAACCCUAAGAUAUAUCAUAUCUUUAUAGAUCGACUUAAUAGAUUGACCGUAUCUUUAUAGAUCGCCUUGAAUAUAUCACGUGGGCCACAUCCAACAUUCUCCCAUUUGGCCUAAUGACAUAUUCAUUACCGCAUAGGCAAUACAAAAAAAAAAAAAAAACUUUAUUAGGUACCAACUAAAUUAUACAGUCAAAAUCUCCCACUCGACCAAGAAAUCACAAUACUUUGAUCAUAGCGAUUAUGCCCCAAAAGAUGAACACUUCCUU
This 350-nucleotide long non-coding RNA is filed under the name Ananas comosus (pineapple). RNAcentral's name for it is "long non-coding RNA (ACOM_LNC025821)". Lineage: Eukaryota; Viridiplantae; Streptophyta; Magnoliopsida; Poales; Bromeliaceae. The record is from RNAcentral.